AUAUACUAUCGGACAAAAGUAAGGCAACAUUUUGAAAAAUAUAGAAAUUAAUGUCUAUCUAAUGUAAAUAAAUUAUGAUCGGGCAAACUAUGGUAUUAUUAAAAGAAUCAAAGGAAGCUACUGUCAUUAAUGUCAAGUAAUUAUUUAUUAAGGUUGAAAAAAACCGCUUUGUUGACUUGUAGUGUAAAAAAGGAUUAUUUUAAGACGACAAAAGCCAAUAUUAACAGUUCGUCUUGCGCAACAAGAGCCAUGCCAACGGGUACACCAAUUGGUAAAGAGUUGAAAGAAAGAGUGAUCGAUGCUUUCUUAAACAAUGAAAAACAAGCGGAUAUUGCAAGAAGAUUUCAACUGCUUAGAUACAGCGUGUCUAAAAUAAUUAUUCGCUACAACGAAAGAGGACAUUUAAACAAUAAUCCAAAAUCGGGACGACCACGAAAAACCACUAUAAACAUGGACAGACGCAUUAAAAGAAUUUCGGAGAACGAUCCAUGGAAAUCUGCAUCUAAAAUUAUAGCGGAAAUACCGGAAGUAGGAGUUAGUACACGAACAAUUCAAAGAAGACUGGUUGCAGCAAAGCUUUUUAGUAGACGUCCUGCUAAAAAACCUUUGAUUUCCGAAAGAAAUAGACGGGCCAGACUUCAAUUUGCAAGAGAACAUUUGAAUUGGACGAAGCAAGAUUGGAGGAAAGUUCUGUUUAGUGACGAAACUCGAUACAAAUUAUUUAAUUCGGAUGGAAUGAAACGUGUGAGACGGCCAAUCAAUACACGAUUCAACCCCAAGUAUGUUACACCCACUGUUAAACAUGGUCAUGGUAGCGUUUUUCUGUGGGGGUGUUUUUCGUGGAAUUGUGUGGGUCCGUUGAGGGUAAUAUGGAUCGGUUCAUCUAUAAGGACAUACUCCAAGAUGUAAUGCUGCCGUAUGCAGAAUGGAAAAUGCCUCUUCGUUUUAUCUUUCAGCAAGAUAACGACCCCAAACACACUUCUGCAUUGGUCAGUGAGUGGUAAUAAUAAUAUUCAUGUUUUGCAAUGGCCUGCCCAAUCACCAGACCUCAACCCAAUUGAGAACUUAUGGGAAGAGGUAGAGCGACGAAUCCGGAUACAAAAAUUUCCCAACAAGCAAUCUUUGAUAGAUAAAAUCAAGGAAGUGUGGUCAAAUCUGGAUGAAAAUGUUAUUCAAAAAUUAAUUUCUUCAAUGCCCAGACGGUGCCAAAAAAUUAUACUUAAUAACGGCUAUGCCAUAAAUUAUUGAAUUUUUCGUUCUAUUUAUUUAAACUUUAGUGUUGGGUAGUGUUAUGUAAAUGUUGAAUCAAAUAAAAUUUGAGUUGAAAAUA
Long non-coding RNA from Tribolium castaneum (red flour beetle), 1330 nucleotides. RefSeq lists it as uncharacterized. NCBI's taxonomy places the organism in Eukaryota, Metazoa, Arthropoda, Insecta, Coleoptera, Tenebrionidae. The transcript is spliced from 2 exons. The record is from RefSeq and is a predicted model, not a curated record.